UACGUAGGGACCAAGCGUUGUUCGGAUUUACUAGGCGUAAAGGGCGCGUAGGCGGCUUGACAAGUCACUUGUGAAAUCUCCGGGCUUAACUCGGAACGGCCAAGUGAAACUGUCAUGCUAGAGUGCAGAAGGGGCAAUCGGAAUUCUUGGUGUAGCGGUGAAAUGCGUAGAUAUCAAGAGGAACACCUGAGGUGAAGACGGGUUGCUGGGCUGACACUGACGCUGAGGCGCGAAAGCCAGGGGAGCAAACGGG
RNAcentral lists this ribosomal RNA (253 nucleotides) under uncultured bacterium. RNAcentral describes it as "partial 16S ribosomal RNA". It matches the Rfam family "Bacterial small subunit ribosomal RNA", at positions 524 to 776 of the family's 1533-position model. The record is from RNAcentral.